GAUGAACGCUGGCGGCGUGCUUAACACAUGCAAGUCGAACGGGAAAUAUUUCAUUGAGACUUCGGUGGAUUUGAUUUAUUUCUAGUGGCGGACGGGUGAGUAACGCGUGGGUAACCUGCCUUAUACAGGGGGAUAACAGUCAGAAAUGGCUGCUAAUACCGCAUAAGCGCACAGAGCUGCAUGGCUCAGUGUGAAAAACUCCGGUGGUAUAAGAUGGACCCGCGUUGGAUUAGCUAGUUGGUGGGGUAACGGCCCACCAAGGCGACGAUCCAUAGCCGGCCUGAGAGGGUGAACGGCCACAUUGGGACUGAGACACGGCCCAGAAUCCUACGGGAGGCAGCAGUGGGGAAUAUUGCACAAUGGGGGAAACCCUGAUGCAGCGACGCCGCGUGAAGGAAGAAGUAUCUCGGUAUGUAAACUUCUAUCAGCAGGGAAGAUAGUGACGGUACCUGACUAAGAAGCCCCGGCUAACUACGUG
RNAcentral lists this ribosomal RNA (478 nucleotides) under uncultured bacterium. Its description in RNAcentral is "partial 16S ribosomal RNA". It matches the Rfam family "Bacterial small subunit ribosomal RNA", at positions 28 to 507 of the family's 1533-position model. The record is from RNAcentral.